Nyctereutes procyonoides (raccoon dog) is the source of this 2070-nucleotide long non-coding RNA. RefSeq lists it as uncharacterized. The record is from RefSeq and is a predicted model, not a curated record. The transcript is spliced from 2 exons. Lineage: Eukaryota; Metazoa; Chordata; Mammalia; Carnivora; Canidae.
GACUCCCCACUGAGCAGGGAUCCUGAUGCAGGGCUUGAUCCCAGGACCCCAGGAUCAUGACCUGAGCUGAAGACAGAGGCUUAGUGGACUGAGCCACCCCAGCACCCCCCAUGGCACAUUUUUAACAACCCUAUUUGACCUUGAACACAACUGGCUAUCAGGCUGACCCCAUCUGAUCUCACUAACUAAUCACUAACACUGGUGAUAUCAUAGACUAAAGGUGGGAGAGCACCAUUAAUGAAGGAUUCUUGCCUAAAAAUAUCUACAUUUAAUCAAGCUUCUUGAGUUCAGUACCAGUUUAUAGGCAAUAACUCUAUGGGGUACUAUGCACCAAAUUGUGUCCCCACUCCCAAUAUAUAUGUUGAAUCCCUAACCCUGCCCUUAAGGAGAUAAUUAAGGUCCACUGAAGUCAUAAGGAUGGGCCCCUAAUCCUACUGGACUGGUGUCCUCAUGAGAAGAGGAAGAGACACCAAAGGAUCUCUUUCUCCACUUGCAGGCACAGAGAAAAGGCUGUGUGAGCACACGGCGAGAAGGCACUUGUAAGCAGAGGAGAGGCCUCCCCAGAAACCAACCCUCCUGACACCUAGAUCUUGGACUUCCAGCCUGCAGGACUGAUCAGAGGAACAAGUUAAUUCCAUGAAGAAGCAAGCAGCAAAAUUCUAGAAGACAAAAGACCUGGUUUCUCCAUUUGACUGAAGAAAGCUGAUAGAAGAAGGGAAGAAGGUGGAGUCAAGAGCAGACUUACAGGUGAAGAGAGUGAGUAUUUUUUUUAAGAAUUGUUUUUUAAAGAUUUUGUUUAUUCACGAGAGAUACACAGAGAGAGAGGCAGAGACAUAGUCAGAUGUCAGAGAAGCAGGCUCCACUCAGGGAGCCGGAUGUGGGACUCGAUCCCGGGACUCCAGGAUCACCCCCUGGGCCAAACAAAGGCAGAGGCUCAACCACUGAGCCACCAAGGCAUCUAGAGACUUUACCAAACGCAAUGUUAAUCCUGAUUCAAACCAACUUGAAAAGGCAAGUUUAGAAGACACACAAUGGCCAACAGACACAUGAAAAGAUGCUCAACAUCACUCAUCAUCAGGGAAAUGCAAAUCAAAACCUCCUAGGAGCUAUCACAUCAUACCAGUCGGAGUCACUAAAAUCAACAACACAAGAAACAAGUGUUGGGGAGAAUGUGGAGGAAAAAAGUACCCUCAGGGGCACCUGACUGGCUCAGUCAGUAGAGCAUGUGACGCUUGAUCUCAGGGUUGUGAGUUAGAACCCCACACUGGGUGUAGAUAUUGCUUACAAAUAAAAUUUUAAAAAAGGAAAGGAACCCUCUUGCUGUGUUGGUGGGAAUGUACACUAGUGUGGGCAGUUAUGGAAAACAGUAUGGAGGAUCCUCAAAAAAUUAAAAGUGGAAUUACCAUAUGAUCCAGUAAUUUCACUCCUGGGUAUUUCCCCCAAAGAACAUGAAAACACUAAUUUGAAAAGAUAUAGGCAACCCUAUGUUUACUGUAGCAUUAUUUACAAUAGCCAAGAUACGGAAGCAACCCAAGCGUCCACCAACUGAUGAAUGGAUAAGGAAGAUGUGGUAUGCACAACCAAUGGACUAUGACUCAGCCAUAAAAAAUGAGAUCUUGCCAUUUGUGACAACAUGGAUGGACCUAGAGGGUGUUAAGCUAAGCGAGAUAAGUCAGACAGAAAAGGACAAACACCAUAUGAUCUUCCUGAUAUGUGGACUCUUUAAAAAAACAAAGCAAAUGAGGAAACAAACAAAAAGCAGAAUCAGACCCAUAAAUAGAACAAACUGAUGGUGGUCAGAGGGGAAGAUGGGAGGAUACACAAAAUGGGUGAAGGGGAGUGGGCGAUACAGGCUUCUGGUUAGGGAAUGACUAAGUCGUGGGGAUAAAAGGCACAGCACAGGGAACAUAGUGAGGGGUACUGUAACAGUGAUGUGCGCUGACAGGCGGUAGCUACACUUGGGGGGAGCACAGCGCUACGUAUAAACUUCUCCAAUCACGAUGUCGUACCCCCGAUACUAAUGUAACAUUGUGUGUUGACUCUAUUCAAAUAAAAAAUAUAUUUUCGGGA